GCGAGAAAACUUUGCAAUGUGCGAAAGCACGACAAGGUUAAUCCGAGUGGUUUCUGCUAAAGAAACCUUUUGUCAGUCCUAGAAACACUAACGAAUAAGGGGUGGGCAAGUUCUGGUGUCAGCCGCCGCGGUAAAGCCAGCACCUCAAGUGGUCAGGAUGAUUAUUGGGCCUAAAGCAUCCGUAGCUCGUUUUGUAAGUUUUCGGUUAAAUCCAUGCGCUUAACGUAUGGGCUGCCGGGAAUACUGCAUAACUAGGAAGUGGGAGAGGUAGACGGUACUCGGUAGGAAGGGGUAAAAUCCUUUGAUCUAUUGAUGACCACCUGUGGCGAAGGCGGUCUACCAGAACACGUUCGACGGUGAGGGAUGUAAGCUGGGGGAGCAAACCGGAUUAGAUACCCUCGUAGUCCCUGAGCGGGCUGGCAAGGCGCAU
RNAcentral lists this ribosomal RNA (430 nucleotides) under uncultured bacterium. RNAcentral describes it as "bacterial SSU rRNA". It matches the Rfam family "Archaeal small subunit ribosomal RNA", at positions 339 to 776 of the family's 1478-position model. The record is from RNAcentral.